GAUGAACGCUGGCGGCGUGCCUAAUACAUGCAGGUCGAGCGAACAGACGAGGAGCUUGCUCCUCUGACGUUGGCGGCGGACGGGUGAGUAACACGUGGAUAACCUACCUAUAAGACUGGGAUAACUUCGGGAAACCGGAGCUAAUACCGGAUAAUAUAUUGAACCGCAUGGUUCAAUAGUGAAAGACGGUUUUGCUGUCACUUAUAGAUGGAUCCGCGCCGCAUUAGCUAGUUGGUAAGGUAACGGCUUACCAAGGCGACGAUGCGUAGCCGACCUGAGAGGGUGAUCGGCCACACUGGAACUGAGACACGGUCCAGACUCCUACGGGAGGCAGCAGUAGGGAAUCUUCCGCAAUGGGCGAAAGCCUGACGGAGCAACGCCGCGUGAGUGAUGAAGGUCUUCGGAUCGUAAAACUCUGUUAUUAGGGAAGAACAAAUGUGUAAGUAACUAUGCACGUCUUGACGGUACCUAAUCAGAAAGCCACGGCUAACUACGUG
Molecule: ribosomal RNA, 497 nt
Filed under: uncultured bacterium
Lineage: Bacteria
Description: partial 16S ribosomal RNA
Rfam family: Bacterial small subunit ribosomal RNA
Source: RNAcentral